UAGAGUUUGAUCCUGGCUCAGAUUGAACGCUGGCGGCAGGCCUAACACAUGCAAGUCGAACGGUAACAGGAAGCANNNUGCUGCUUCGCUGACGAGUGGCGGACGGGUGAGUAAUGUCUGGGAAGCUGCCUGAUGGAGGGGGAUAGCUACUGGAAACGGUAGCUAAUACCGCAUAAUGUCGCAAGACCAAAGAGGGGGACCUUCGGGCCUCUUGCCAUCGGAUGUGCCCAGAUGGGAUUAGCUUGUUGGUGGGGUAACGGCUCACCAAGGCGACGAUCCCUAGCUGGUCUGAGAGGAUGACCAGCCACACUGGAACUGAGACACGGUCCAGACUCCUACGGGAGGCAGCAGUGGGGAAUAUUGCACAAUGGGCGCAAGCCUGAUGCAGCCAUGCCGCGUGUAUGAAGAAGGCCUUCGGGUUGUAAAGUACUUUCAGCGGGGAGGAAGGGAGUAAAGUUAAUACCUUUGCUCAUUGACGUUACCCGCAGAAGAAGCACCGGCUAACUCCGUGCCAGCAGCCGCGGUAAUACGGAGGGUGCAAGCGUUAAUCGGAAUUACUGGGCGUAAAGCGCACGCAGGCGGUUUGUUAAGUCAGAUGUGAAAUCCCCGGGCUCAACCUGGGAACUGCAUCUGAUACUGGCAAGCUUGAGUCUCGUAGAGGGGGGUAGAAUUCCAGGUGUAGCGGUGAAAUGCGUAGAGAUCUGGAGGAAUACCGGUGGCGAAGGCGGCCCCCUGGACGAAGACUGACGCUCAGGUGCGAAAGCGUGGGGAGCAAA
RNAcentral lists this ribosomal RNA (776 nucleotides) under uncultured Shigella sp. RNAcentral's name for it is "bacterial SSU rRNA". It matches the Rfam family "Bacterial small subunit ribosomal RNA", at positions 1 to 772 of the family's 1533-position model. Lineage: Bacteria; Pseudomonadati; Pseudomonadota; Gammaproteobacteria; Enterobacterales; Enterobacteriaceae. The record is from RNAcentral.